UUUAUACGGUGUUUAUUUAACCAAAUACGAAUCAAGAAAGGUAAAAUUAGAUAAAGUACCGUUUUUUGAAAAAUUUAUGACAACAUUCAAAGUUUAUCUUUAUUUAAAAUAUCAGAAUUUACCGUUAAUUGUAGAGAAAUUAGUAAAUUAAAGUCACGAAGGGAAAAAAAGGUGACGAAUUCAACAAUUUGUGAGGAGUCUUGUAUUAAGGACUAUCAAAUAUUUUCUUGAACGGAUCUUAUAGCAUUAACUUCAUCAGGACGGCCAGAUACAUUCUAGGUAGCUCUUUGUGUUGCGAAGACCAAGUUGGAUGAAUGCAUUUGACUAGCAUCAAAGAUUAGUACAGUUUAGGUAAAAAAAUAUAGAAACAAUGGCCAUCAAGGGGAAAUUUUCGACGAGUUUUAACACCAAAAUAUUAUCCAUCUAUAAUGAGCUCCAUGCUUCGCAUUUUUGGACAGGUAUUAUUCCUCCCUUGUACAAGGAGAAUGACGUUCAGAGUUCAUUUGCCCUUCUUAGUCCAUCUUUAAUAUCAUAAUUCUGAAAUAGAUAGUUGUAGUCAAAGAAAUAUACUCACUUUAAUACGCAAAAUAAUAAGUGUUAAUGUCAUAAUUAAUAUCUACAAUGAAUUUUAUACAAUGCAAAAUAAUCAUCCAAUCUACAUGGUACGCUGCCAAUAGAAAAUUAAAAUAGCCUCGUUUUUUUGCUGAUACAAAAAAAGUAAAAUUAAAAAAACUCUCAUUUAAGCAUCUGAACAAAUACUGAGUCUAAUCAAGCAUCUUCAUAUGAGAUCUUCAUUCACCCAUAGACCUAUUUUUGCUUAAAUGUAAGAGAACGAGAACGACACGACUUACCACUAAAAGUUUUUCUCAUUUUCUGGUGAAUUAAACUCUUGCACCAACGGUUUGCGCUCCACAUUUUUUUUCCACACAACUCACCUUGAAAUUCUGUUGCACAUACACUUCAAAUGCAAAUCAACGAUAUAGCUAUCGCGCAUAAUAACAUAGAAUGACACUCGGAAACGCUUUCCGUGACUCAGUUGGAAAGACAUAAAAAUUGGUACCGUUAAAUAACCAUUUGUUGACAGUUCCAUAGUUGAUGUUUACUUAAAGUUCUAAUGAAAUUGUGGAAAUUUAUCAGGUAUCCUUACUAAAAGUUUCGGACCCAAACAUUUUCGACGUCUGAAUUGUAUAUACAAAUUUGUUUUCGUCCGAUGGGUGAAAUAGAUUGAUAUUCUAAUGGAAACCAAACUUCUGAGGUUUAUCUAGAAGGAUGAUACUUUUUCAUACCUUUUGUUUACGCAAAUUUUCACUCCACUUGCUUAUUCAAAAGUAAUUCUGAAAUAACAAUAUUCUACUGAAAAAGAAUCCCUAAAAUUUUAAACGCAAAAUUGUUAAACAAGGCAUGAAUCAUAUCUGUUGUGAAGUGUGAAGAGCAUAAUAUUCCUACGAAGAGAAGAGAAAGUUCCACAUAAACUUUAGGUGUUGUUUCGGAACCCAAUACAGGGAUAAUCGUUUUAUAUAUAGAAUAAUGUUUGUAACAGUUGAGAUUUAAUCCAGUGGCAUAGACAUAAGCAACUAUGUUAUUCAAUUUAUUAUAAUUUAUUGGAAAUUGGUAUUCAAAAGUACAUACGAGAACUUUUCCAGAAUGAAGCAGACUAACCACGACGAUCAUCAGUCAGCCCCACAAUAUAACAUGCCAAAAGUAUCUUUCAUCCACGUGGCCACCCAACAGUAACACUUCCUAAUCAUUAUAUUUCUUUCUUUUCCCAGGAAAUAAAUAAUAAACAUAUAAUCGUAUGCCAGAGUUUUUAAAUGCAACCUUUGAAAUAAAGGUACCCAACAACCAUAAUUAAGUAUUGUAAACAUAUACCUGUUAAAUUAAAAAACAACACAAACAAAUAAUGUCAUAACCUAAUUUUAAAUUGUGAUUUUUAUAAUAAUCAUCUUAAGAAUUAUGUAAAAAAUAAUUCCUUAUUAGUUCGCAAAAUUGAAUCUAUAUAAAUAAACUUCUCCAAAAGUAUUUAUAAAGAUAAUAAAAAAUGGAAAACUCAUAAACUCAUAAACUAAAAUAAUAUAAAAUCUUUUAGAAAUCAAUUUAAUUUUUGAAAAAGUCUUGUAAACACA
Molecule: long non-coding RNA, 2123 nt
Filed under: Phaseolus vulgaris (common bean)
Lineage: Eukaryota; Viridiplantae; Streptophyta; Magnoliopsida; Fabales; Fabaceae
Description: long non-coding RNA (PVUL_LNC004748)
Source: RNAcentral